UACGAAGGGGGCUAGCGUUGCUCGGAAUCACUGGGCGUAAAGCGCACGUAGGCGGCUUACUAAGUCAGGGGUGAAAUCCUGGAGCUCAACUCCAGAACUGCCUUUGAUACUGGUAAGCUCGAGUCCGGGAGAGGUGAGUGGAACUGCGAGUGUAGAGGUGAAAUUCGUAGAUAUUCGCAAGAACACCAGUGGCGAAGGCGGCGCACUGGCCCGGUACUGACGCUGAGGUGCGAAAGCGUGGGGAGCAAACAGG
RNAcentral lists this ribosomal RNA (253 nucleotides) under uncultured bacterium. RNAcentral describes it as "partial 16S ribosomal RNA". It matches the Rfam family "Bacterial small subunit ribosomal RNA", at positions 524 to 776 of the family's 1533-position model. The record is from RNAcentral.